This 717-nucleotide long non-coding RNA is filed under the name Ananas comosus (pineapple). RNAcentral's name for it is "long non-coding RNA (ACOM_LNC029802)". Lineage: Eukaryota; Viridiplantae; Streptophyta; Magnoliopsida; Poales; Bromeliaceae. The record is from RNAcentral.
AAAUCUAAAAAGUAAAAGCACUCUUACUUUUUUUUAUUUUCUUUUUCUUCAAACCAAAUACGUGUUGUAAAAAUUAUUUCAAAUUUACUUCCUAGUAAACGCUAACAAAUGCAAAAAAAAAAAAUUCUAUGAAUGAUUUUUUUAGAAAAAAAACAAGAGUUCGGCUGGUAUACUAUCAGUAACACGGAGGUUUCCGUAUUAUCAAGUUGUUUUCAAUGAUGUAGCUUUCAAAUCGACGAUCGACUCCAUUAGACUUGAUUUACACUAUUGAAAGUAUUUGAAAACUAAAUUUCAUUAUUUUUCGACAUCAUUUACUUAUCAAACGAAUAAUCUAAAAAUGAACGGCUGAAAAUAAAAAUCUUAUAAAAAAUGAUGAUAAAAGACUUGAAUUUAAAAUUAGAGUUACUGAUCUUACUCUAAAUAGUAAAAAAAAUUUCUAUAAAAAUUUCAUCAGAUUUGAAUUGUUUUAUACCAUUGAAUUCACAAACGUAUCACAUCGACCAUUAAAAUUAUCAAUUUUGAGAAUUUUUUGACUAUUAGCCAAAUAAUAUUGAAAAAUUAUGAAAUUUGAUUUUCAAAUACUUUCAACAGUGUAGAACAAGUCUAAUGGAGCCGAUCAUCGAUUUGGAAGUCACAUCAUUAAAAAUAAUUUGGUAGUAUAAAGACCUCCGUACUACUGAUAGUAUACCAGUCUAGCGCAAAAAAUUACGACUUAGG